This 85-nucleotide transfer RNA is filed under the name Fusarium equiseti. RNAcentral describes it as "tRNA-Arg". It matches the Rfam family "tRNA". Rfam says of the family: Transfer RNA (tRNA) molecules are approximately 80 nucleotides in length. Lineage: Eukaryota; Fungi; Ascomycota; Sordariomycetes; Hypocreales; Nectriaceae. The record is from RNAcentral.
GGCCGCGUGGCCUAAUGGCUAAGGCGCUAGAUUUCGGUCUUUACCAAUUCUCUAGAGAUUCCAGGUUCGACUCCUGGCGUGGUCG